Molecule: ribosomal RNA, 492 nt
Filed under: Triticum aestivum (bread wheat)
Lineage: Eukaryota; Viridiplantae; Streptophyta; Magnoliopsida; Poales; Poaceae
Description: partial small subunit ribosomal RNA
Source: RNAcentral
GGUGAUCUGAAUUUCUCGGUCAGCAGUGCUUACGGUAUGUUCUUCGCUGCAAAUAUGCGCUUUGCUUGCCAUAAACCAAUCUGGAAAUCAAAAGCUCCACCUAGAUGCAAAUUUUUCAUGUGGCUGGUCAUUCAUAAGAGAUGUUUGACUGCGGAUAACCUGCAAAGAAGGGGCUGGCCCUCAAAUGAUGUAUGCCCUCUGUGUCUCUUGGUGGCCGAAAAUUGUAAGCAUCUGUUCUUAUUGUGCCGAUUCACACAGCAGGUUUGGUCCAGGUUCAGAGACUGGACGCGGGCUCAGUUCUCAAUCCCUGAUGACCACUUUGACAGUUCUGAAUCUUGGUGGAUCAAUACUCGAAAGGAAAUUCCCAAGUCAGCUCGAAGAAAUUUUGACACCAUCACCAUUCUGAUUCACUGGAGAAUUUGGAAGGAAAGAAACGCGGGGAUUUUUGAGCAUGUGGCCAGCAAUGUGGACAGGGUGUUGGACCUGAUAAGA